RNAcentral lists this non-coding RNA (208 nucleotides) under Novipirellula artificiosorum. Lineage: Bacteria; Pseudomonadati; Planctomycetota; Planctomycetia; Pirellulales; Pirellulaceae. The record is from RNAcentral.
GAAGACAUCCGUCGAAGUUCAGCGUUGAUGCGUAAACACGAAAGGUAGUGAGGGUGAAAGGUAUCGGCUGGCUGCCGGACCCUGAACGAGAUUGAGCUCCGAAAACAUGGUUCCUGUUGGAUACUGCCCAAGGCCUGUGCAUGUUGGAAGGCAAUACUUGUCGCCGCAUUUUGGCGAGCGGCAUCGAGAGUCCCGGAGUCGAAGAUCC